UAAGUAGAUGGUGAAAGCCUGGGGGCUCAACCCCUUCAACAUCAUUUAAACUGCAUAGCUAGAAUAUGGGAGAGGUACCUGGAAUUCCAAGUGUAGGAGUGAAAUCCGUAGAUAUUUGGAGGAACACCGAUGGCGUAGGCAGGGUACUGGCCCAUUAUUGACACUAAGGCACGAAAGCGUGGGGAGCGAACGGGAUUAGAUACCCCGGUAGUCCACGCUGUAAACUAUGGAUGCUA
This 236-nucleotide ribosomal RNA is filed under the name uncultured Candidatus Saccharibacteria bacterium. RNAcentral describes it as "partial 16S ribosomal RNA". It matches the Rfam family "Bacterial small subunit ribosomal RNA", at positions 584 to 818 of the family's 1533-position model. The record is from RNAcentral. Lineage: Bacteria; Candidatus Saccharimonadota.